RNAcentral lists this non-coding RNA (78 nucleotides) under unclassified sequences. RNAcentral describes it as "skipping-rope RNA". It matches the Rfam family "skipping-rope RNA". Rfam says of the family: Firmicutes, Fusobacteria, AlphaProteobacteria, Spirochaetes. The record is from Rfam by way of RNAcentral.
UGGUUUAGAAGUAGAGAAUGUGCUGCUACGCACCCUUUGGGUCAAAAGAAAUGUGGAAUUGACACACCACCGUAACCA